RNAcentral lists this ribosomal RNA (253 nucleotides) under uncultured bacterium. Its description in RNAcentral is "partial 16S ribosomal RNA". It matches the Rfam family "Bacterial small subunit ribosomal RNA", at positions 524 to 776 of the family's 1533-position model. The record is from RNAcentral.
UACGUAGGCAGCAAGCGUUGUUCGGAAUUACUGGGCGUAAAGAGUGUGUAGGCGGCGCGCUAAGUUCGGUGUGAAAUCUCCCGGCUCAACUGGGAGGGUGCGCCGAAAACUGGCGGGCUAGAGCGUGGGAGAGGAAAGCGGAAUUCCUGGUGUAGCGGUGAAAUGCGUAGAUAUCAGGAGGAACACCUGUGGUGUAGACAGCUUUCUGGACCAUAGCUGACGCUGAGACACGAAAGCGUGGGUAGCAAACAGG